Molecule: ribosomal RNA, 359 nt
Filed under: Chaetoceros curvisetus
Lineage: Eukaryota; Bacillariophyta; Thalassiosirophyceae; Chaetocerotales; Chaetocerotaceae
Description: partial Bacterial small subunit ribosomal RNA
Rfam family: Bacterial small subunit ribosomal RNA
Source: RNAcentral
AGCGUUGUCCGGAAUUAUUGGGCGUAAAGGGCUCGUAGGUGGUUUGUCGCGUCGUCUGUGAAAUUCCGGGGCUUAACUCCGGGCGUGCAGGCGAUACGGGCAUAACUUGAGUACUGUAGGGGUAACUGGAAUUCCUGGUGUAGCGGUGAAAUGCGCAGAUAUCAGGAGGAACACCGGUGGCGAAGGCGGUUCUCUGGGCAUGAUCUGACGCUGAGGAGCGAAAGUGUGGGGAGCGAACAGGAUUAGAUACCCUGGUAGUCCAUGCCGUAAACGGUGGGCGCUAGGUGUGAGGGUCUUUUCACGACUUUCGUGCCGUAGCUAACGCAUUAAGCGCCCCGCCUGGGGAGUACGGCCGCAAG